GAAACUCAGGCUAAUACCGCAUGAGCCCUUCGGGGGAAAGCAGGGGAUCUUCGGACCUUGCGCUAUUGGAUGAGCCUAUGUCUGAUUAGCUUGUUGGUGGGGUAACGGCCUACCAAGGCGACGAUCAGUAGCUGGUCUGAGAGGACGAUCAGCCACACUGGGACUGAGACACGGCCCAGACUCCUACGGGAGGCAGCAGUGGGGAAUAUUGGACAAUGGGCGCAAGCCUGAUCCAGCAAUGCCGCGUGUGUGAAGAAGGCCUGCGGGUUGUAAAGCACUUUCAGUGGGGAGGAAAAGCUCAAGGAUAAUACCCUUGGGUCUUGACGUUAUCCACAGAAGAAGCACCGGCUAACUCUGUGCCAGCAGCCGCGGUAAUACAGAGGGUGCAAGCGUUAAUCGGAAUUACUGGGCGUAAAGCGCGCGUAGGCGGUUUGUUAAGUCGGAUGUGAAAGCCCCGGGCUCAACCUGGGAACUGCAUUCGAUACUGGCAGGCUAGAGUAUGGUAGAGGGAAGUGGAAUUCCGGGUGUAGCGGUGAAAUGCGUAGAUAUCCGGAGGAACAUCAGUGGCGAAGGCGGCUUCCUGGAC
This 586-nucleotide ribosomal RNA is filed under the name uncultured bacterium. RNAcentral describes it as "bacterial SSU rRNA". It matches the Rfam family "Bacterial small subunit ribosomal RNA", at positions 153 to 734 of the family's 1533-position model. The record is from RNAcentral.